AUGGACUACAAGUUCAUUGCCUUGUUCAACAUGGGAUUAGUCUAUCUGGAAUCUGGUCGCCAUACAUGCAGAUGCAAAUGCGCUGGCCUUCAUGAUUCCAGGACCUGGAAUCAUACCAGCCAAUGGGAGUUGAUCGAGCACCUUAAGGCCAAAGUGAGUGCUGACAGCGCGAGAUCUCACCCUCUCAUCGAUUUGUUCAUAUCAACCAUCGAUAGCAAGCACGGCAUAUGCUACACCCAUCCUGAGAAACUUCCAGGUAUCACACUGAGUGGCCUAAGCAAGCAUUUCUUCCAACGCAAUUCCAGGGCGUUUAAAAGGGACAGGUGGACGCGUCACAAGAUACAGUCAGAGUGUAGCAUGCACGCGAUGUUGCACAAGACCGGCAAUACCUUGCCAGUGAUGGUCAACAGCCGACAGACGGGCAGCAAAAAGGUUCUGGUGCUGCACACCGACAAGAACUUCGACCAGCAGAGGACCAACUGGGUGAUGCACUAG
Molecule: ribosomal RNA, 495 nt
Filed under: Triticum aestivum (bread wheat)
Lineage: Eukaryota; Viridiplantae; Streptophyta; Magnoliopsida; Poales; Poaceae
Description: partial small subunit ribosomal RNA
Source: RNAcentral